CGGAUGUAUAGCUCAGCGGUAGAGCGACUGACUGUUAAUCAGUGGGUCCCUGGUUCGAAUCCAGGUAUGUCCGCCAA
This 77-nucleotide transfer RNA is filed under the name Klebsiella phage vB_KaeM_Merci. RNAcentral's name for it is "tRNA-Asn". It matches the Rfam family "tRNA". From Rfam's summary of the family: Transfer RNA (tRNA) molecules are approximately 80 nucleotides in length. Lineage: Duplodnaviria; Heunggongvirae; Uroviricota; Caudoviricetes; Pantevenvirales; Straboviridae. The record is from RNAcentral.